GCAAAGGGUCGAGCGCUAAAAAUACCUGCCAACUCUCCCGCACCCACGGGCACAUCACACGCACACACACCUGCAAGUGAGUCAGACUCACGGGGGCUUGAGCAGCGGACACAUGCGAGAAAAUGCCGGACUGUCCCACCAGAUGGUAACGAUGGGAGUCUUAAACUCGGCGGGAGUUAUCCUACAAUGCCUAGGCAGAGUCCCAAAAUGCAGGUGAAACCAUAAUCCCUACAAUUGGAGAAGCAGUUCCAUAGUUCGUCUGCACCAGUCAACCAGCAGAUAACUACA
This is a non-coding RNA of Drosophila melanogaster (fruit fly), 288 nucleotides long. NCBI's taxonomy places the organism in Eukaryota, Metazoa, Arthropoda, Insecta, Diptera, Drosophilidae. The record is from Ensembl.